This 395-nucleotide ribosomal RNA is filed under the name uncultured Pseudomonas sp. Its description in RNAcentral is "bacterial SSU rRNA". It matches the Rfam family "Bacterial small subunit ribosomal RNA", at positions 988 to 1382 of the family's 1533-position model. Lineage: Bacteria; Pseudomonadati; Pseudomonadota; Gammaproteobacteria; Pseudomonadales; Pseudomonadaceae. The record is from RNAcentral.
GCAGAGAACUUUCCAGAGAUGGAUUGGUGCCUUCGGGAACUCUGACACAGGUGCUGCAUGGCUGUCGUCGGCUCGUGUCGUGAGAUGUUGGGUUAAGUCCGUAACGAGCGCAACCCUUGUCCUUAGUUACCAGCACGUUAUGGUGGGCACUCUAAGGAGACUGCCGGUGGACAAACCGGAGGAAGGUGGGGAUGACGUCAAGUCAUCAUGGCCCUUACGGCCUGGGCUACACACGUGCUACAAUGGUCGGUACAAAGGGUUGCCAAGCCGCGAGGUGGAGCUAAUCCCAUAAAACCGAUCGUAGUCCGGAUCGCAGUCUGCAACUCGACUGCGUGAAGUCGGAAUCGCUAGUAAUCGUGAAUCAGAAUGUCACGGUGAAUACGUUCCCGGGCCUU